GGGAAAACGACGACUGUCAAGCCGCGGAGUGUGUGCGGUGCGCUUGUGUGUGUGUGCGUGUGUGGGGUUUGCCGGUUUGGUGGAAUUCCGUUGCGGUUUUUGAAAUUUGGUAAUCAGCUGAUUGGUGCGAUGGGCGUGAUUGUGAUGGUGGUGUAUUAAUUGCCACGCAUGGGGGAAUUUGUACUGCCAGCAGGUAGUGGUGUGAUGUCCUCGAAUAGUCCAGUGUGUAAUCGAAAUAGAAGCUAAUAAGAAUCGUGUUGAAAACGUUACCUGGCCCAUAUGAUAUAACGAAGGAACGACGCAUAUGUACUUGCAGCUACGAUUACUAUGUCCUUUACGACGCGAUGGAAAAACUUCCUAGCAUUGCUACUCCGGAUACGAUUCCAGCUAAAUCAAACCGUUAAUUCCGCCUGGAGGGGUCCUCGGUCCUAGCCUUUCGAAGCUCUCCGAAGCCGCCCAGAGCCGACGGAGCUGCUUCUGGCUUUGCCCGAGUCAUUCGUAAAGGAUACGGGAUUUUGGAAUGAAUGGGAAUAAGCAUUCUGUAUGCAUAUUUCACCCUUUUCCGUAUCAAGAAACGAUAAAAAAAAGGAUACGAUCCAUCGCUUGAUAAUCCAACACAGCGUUUGUUGACAGCUUUUGCUAGCCUCAGGUAGAUGGCGCUAGCCCAAUACUAAAUUACGCUAUCGAAAACGUCCUGCAUACCCACGAUUACAGGAAUAUAUAAAUAGAUCAUUUAUGCACUGAAAGAGGAGCGAUUGUAGUCAGUAGGUUACAUGCAUACAAUAACAAAAUGACUUGGUGAAGUCGCGUAAUGCUUUAUGGAACAUUCAAACAUUUAAAAGUCUGUAAAUGGUAUUCGUAGUACGAAGUAUCCCGAAAUCUUUCUCUCUUUCGAAACCUCCAGUCAACGAGAUCGCUAAAAGCAAUGAUGCGGACUGGGAAGAUGAUAAGGCAGUCCAGCACAGGUUAUGUCUUUCAUCCCCUACGAUCAUUCAGCCCAAGAGGCAGGCUGAAAAUAACAUGUGGCCGAAGGACUACUGAAGGACGUUGAAGAAUCGUACCUCAAGCUAUUCCUAAGUAUAUACACAUAAAACUAUUCGAAGAAAUCAACUCAACUGCGAACUAGUUUUGGAUGUAACAUGUAGCACAAUACAGGAAGAAAUGCAACACCCUGUGUCGGUUUAGUUCAUUUAUUGUUUGUACCGGCUGGUUCGGUUGCACUAACACGCUAUCAGAAAGGCUAAUAAUGUCCUCAGGAUGAUGCGGAAAAAUUGAAGAAUAAAUGUUUCAAUUCAUACCGUCUAUGCACUAAUCUAGUGUAAGUGUAAUGCCAAGAGCCUCAGCGCCCUAACCAGGCAGCUGCACGCACCGUCAUCCCUCCUCGCCCUCUCGCCCAAAACGGACAGGCAGGCUUAUGCUCUUUCUCGCUCUCUCUCUCUCUCUCUAGUUACGUUAGGCUAUCUAAAAAAUAUUGAAGUAAGAUAAAAUUCUCCUUCCAUAAACGCACCCUCCUUGCAUGUGGAAAGGAAUUUCUCACACACACGCGCAAUCAUCCUGUGCCGCCGAUCCAUCCGCUGGUCCAGUGUUGCUUAGUGGCGUUUCUUAAGUAACCCUCCUUGAGGCGGUCCAGAUUUGGCCGUUCUAACUGUCUUUCGAGCGAAGCAAAUAAUGUGAAUAGCUUUAUAUGUAUAUAUAUACUCUCUCUCUCUCUCUUUCUCUCUUUCCAAGCUUUGUGGAAAAAUAAAAUAUCUGUUAUACAACAAGAAACAUAAACAAGAAACAAAUCCUCCUUCCUCCUAGCUCGAUCGCAUCUCUCUCUCUCUCUCUCUCUCUCUCUCUCUCUCUCUCUCUCUCUCUUGCGCACACUCACAUAUACACA
Molecule: long non-coding RNA, 1879 nt
Organism: Anopheles merus
Lineage: Eukaryota; Metazoa; Arthropoda; Insecta; Diptera; Culicidae
Exons: 2
Source: RefSeq, a predicted model, not a curated record